CGCACGAGAACGCUUCAGCUUGCUGAAGCUAGUAAAGUGGCGCACGGGUGAGUAACGCGUGGGUAAUCUAUCUCUGAAUUGGGGAUAACAUUGCGAAAGCGAUGCUAAUACCGGAUAAUAUCCAUUAAGCCUCGGUUUUUUGGAUCAAAGGUGGCCUCUACAUGUAAGCUACUGUUUGGAGACGAGCCCGCGUACCAUUAGCUUGUUGGUAGGGUAACGGCCUACCAAGGCAACGAUGGUUAGCUGGUCUGAGAGGAUGAUCAGCCACACUGGAACUGACACGCGGUCCAGACUCCUACGGGAGGUAGCAGUGAGGAAUUUUGCGCAAUGGGGGAAACCCUGACGCAGCAACGCCGCGUGAGUGAUGAAGGCUUUCGGGUCGUAAAGCUCUGUCAAGUGGGAAGAACCCGCGCCGUGCAAAUAGUGCGGUGCGUUGACGGUACCACUGAAGGAAGCACCGGCUAACUCCGUGCCAGCAGCCGCGGUAAUACGGGGGGUGCAAGCGUUAUUCGGAAUCAUUGGGCGUAAAGAGCGCGUAGGCGGUCUUCUAUGUCAGAUGUGAAAGCCCGGGGCUCAACCCCGGAAGUGCAUUUGAAACUGGGAGACUUGAGUAUGGGAGAA
Molecule: ribosomal RNA, 621 nt
Filed under: uncultured Pseudomonadota bacterium
Lineage: Bacteria; Pseudomonadati; Pseudomonadota
Description: bacterial SSU rRNA
Rfam family: Bacterial small subunit ribosomal RNA
Source: RNAcentral